AAGUCGUAACAAGGUUUCCGUAGGUGAACCUGCGGAAGGAUCAUUACUGAAUUGUCAAACGGGUUGUUGCUGGCCCUCAUAGGGGGCAUGUGCACGCUCUGUUUACACAUCCACUCACACCUGUGCACCCUCUGUAGUUCUAUGGUUUGGGGGACCCUGUCUUCCUUCUGUGGUUCUACGUCUUUACACACACACUGUAAUAAAGUUUUAUGGAAUGUACAUCGCGUCUAACGCAAUACAAUACAACUUUCAGCAACGGAUCUCUUGGCUCUC
Molecule: unclassified non-coding RNA, 273 nt
Filed under: fungal sp.
Lineage: Eukaryota; Fungi
Description: partial internal transcribed spacer region
Rfam family: Eukaryotic small subunit ribosomal RNA (bases 1-46)
Source: RNAcentral